CUAAAGAUGGCGACCGGCGCACGGGUGAGUAACACGUAUCCAACCUGCCGAUAACUCGGGGAUAGCCUUUCGAAAGAAAGAUUAAUACCCGAUGGUAUAAUCAGACCGCAUGGUUUGAUUAUUAAAGAAUUUCGGUUAUCGAUGGGGAUGCGUUCCAUUAGGCAGUUGGUGAGGUAACGGCUCACCAAACCUUCGAUGGAUAGGGGUUCUGAGAGGAAGGUCCCCCACAUUGGAACUGAGACACGGUCCAA
RNAcentral lists this ribosomal RNA (251 nucleotides) under uncultured bacterium. RNAcentral describes it as "partial 16S ribosomal RNA". It matches the Rfam family "Bacterial small subunit ribosomal RNA", at positions 78 to 334 of the family's 1533-position model. The record is from RNAcentral.